UCCAGACUCCUACGGGAGGCAGCAGUGGGGGAUAUUGCACAAUGGGGGAAACCCUGAUGCAGCGACGCCGCGUGGGCGAAGAAGUAUUUCGGUAUGUAAAGCCCUAUCAGCAGGGAAGAAGAAAUGACGGUACCUGAGUAAGAAGCACCGGCUAAAUACGUGCCAGCAGCCGCGGUAAUACGUAUGGUGCAAGCGUUAUCCGGAUUUACUGGGUGUAAAGGGAGCGCAGGCGGCACGGCAAGCCUGAUGUGAAAGCCCGCGGCCCAACCGCGGGACUGCAUUGGGAACUACCGGGCUGGAGUGCCGGAGAGGUAGGCGGAAUUCCUAGUGUAGCGGUGAAAUGCGUAGAUAUUAGGAAGAACACCAGUGGCGAAGGCGGCUUUCUGGACUGAAACUGACGCUGAGGCACGAAAGCGUGGGGAGCGAACAGGAUUAGAUACCCCGGUAG
This 448-nucleotide ribosomal RNA is filed under the name uncultured bacterium. RNAcentral describes it as "bacterial SSU rRNA". It matches the Rfam family "Bacterial small subunit ribosomal RNA", at positions 330 to 793 of the family's 1533-position model. The record is from RNAcentral.